GGGAGUAUAGCUCAGUGGUAGAGUGCAUACCUAGCAUGCACGAGGUCCUGGGUUCAAUCCCCAGUACCUCCA
RNAcentral lists this transfer RNA (72 nucleotides) under Camelus bactrianus (Bactrian camel). It matches the Rfam family "tRNA". Rfam says of the family: Transfer RNA (tRNA) molecules are approximately 80 nucleotides in length. Their secondary structure includes four short double-helical elements and three loops (D, anti-codon, and T loops). The record is from Rfam by way of RNAcentral. RNAcentral also lists the same sequence under 3 other names. Lineage: Eukaryota; Metazoa; Chordata; Mammalia; Artiodactyla; Camelidae.